AAAGGAUUUGAGGGAAGGGCACCCCCAGGAGUGGAGCUUGCGGCUUAAUUUGACUCAACACGGGAAACCUCACCCGGCCAGUACAUCAUAAGGAUUGACAGAUUGAAAGCUCUUUCAUGAUUUGAUGAAUGGUGGCGCAUGCCCGUUCUUAGUUCGUGGCGUGAGUUGUCUGCUUAAUUGCGAUAACGAGCGAGACUCCGUCUGCCAAAUACCUGGUGGAUUGAUUGUCCGCGCGGGUUCUUUGCUGGAUUCGAGACUGCAAGUCUCAAGAAAUGGAGCAAUAACAGGUCUGUGAUCCCCUUAGAUGUUCGGGGCCGCACGCGUGCUACAAUGAUGCUAACAGCGUGCUUGUCCUCGCCCGAGAGGGCUUGGCAAACAGUUGAGAUGUUAUUACGGCUGGAAUUGAGUGUUGAAAUUUUCCCUCAUGAACGAGGAAUUCCAAGUAAAUGCGAGUCAUCAACUUGCAUUGAUUACGUCCCUGCCCUUUGUACACACCGCCCGUCGCUACCCGGGAGUGAUUCGUUUCGAGAAAUUCACGGACUAGUGGCGCGCG
Molecule: ribosomal RNA, 553 nt
Filed under: Ficophagus sp. 2 NK-2021
Lineage: Eukaryota; Metazoa; Nematoda; Chromadorea; Rhabditida; Aphelenchoididae
Description: bacterial SSU rRNA
Rfam family: Eukaryotic small subunit ribosomal RNA
Source: RNAcentral